This 572-nucleotide unclassified non-coding RNA is filed under the name Hevea brasiliensis (rubber tree). Lineage: Eukaryota; Viridiplantae; Streptophyta; Magnoliopsida; Malpighiales; Euphorbiaceae. The record is from RNAcentral.
AUGUUGGCAUACUCCUGGCAACACCCUUCAGACCAGAGGAAAAAUAAGGAAUGGCUUGAACGGCAUUGGCAGCAAUAAUUGCAACAGAAUCUGAUGGGGUCACAAAAAACCUUUUACCGAGGAUCAUAUUACGAUCUGCAUCACCGUCAGCAGCAGCACCAAACUCAGGUGGUUCACCUUGAGUGUUUGAUUUACCCAAUCCCAUUCGUGCAACCAAUUCUUUGGCAUAUGUCAGGUUAGGAUCUGGGUGUCCACCGCCAAAGUCUUCCUUUGGGACGCAAUUUAUCAAUGAACUUUCGCUAGCACCUAGUUCUUCAACAAAAAUCCGCUUGGCAUAGUUUCCAGCAACGCCAUGAAGUGCAUCAUAACAGAUUGUGAAAAUCGGAGACUUCAGCAACUUCUGAAUGGACUCGAAAUCAAAGAUAGUCUUCAUUAGUUUAACAUAAUCAUCGGUUGAGUCAAAAACCUCCACAUCAAAAGGUCCUUCAGGCCCACUGAAGCUAGUUAAACCUACAGUCGAUAUAUCUACAUCUGGAAGAUCUUCUGCAAUGAAGUACUCCUUUAUCGUUUUU